CCGGCACGGGGAGGUAGUGACAAAAAAUAACGAUACGGGACUCUAUUGAGGCCCCGUAAUCGGAAUGAGUACACUUUAAAUUCUUUAACAAGGAUCUAUUGGAGGGCAAGUCUGGUGCCAGCAGCCGCGGUAAUUCCAGCUCCAAUAGCGUAUAUUAAAGUUGUUGCGGUUAAAAAGCUCGUAGUUGGUUCUGCGUGCCGCGCUGUUGGUUCGCCGCCUGUCGGUGUAACUGACAUGUCGCGGCAUGUCCUGUCGGUGGUGAACGGAAUUCCCGGUGCAACGUUUGUUUCAAAGCUUACGUUUGCGUUGUGUGAAUUUCGUUCACCGAUCUCCUAUCCGGUGCUCUUAAACGAGUGUCGAGAUAGGCCGACACGUUCACUUUGAACAAAUUAGAGUGCUUAAAGCAGGCUAAAAUCUCUGCCUGAAUAGUGGUGCAUGGAAUGAUAAAAUAGGACCUCGGUUCUAUUUUGUUGGUUUUAGGAAUGUGAGGUAAUGAUCAAUAUGGACAGGCGGGGGCAUUCGUAUUGCGGCGUUAGAGGUGAAAUUCUUGGAUCGUCGCAAGACGCACUAAAGCGAAAGCAUUUGCCAAGUAUGUCUUAAUUGAUCAAGAACGAAAGUUAGAGGUUCGAAGGCGAUCAGAUACCGCCCUAGUUCUAACCAUAAACGAUGCCAGCCAGCGAUCCGUCGAUGUUUCUAUAAUGACUCGACGGGGAGCUUCCGAUCCCGGGAAACCAAAGCUUUUGGGUUCCGGGGGAAGUAUGGUUGCAAAGCUGAAACUUAAAGGAAUUGACGGAAGGGCACCACCAGGAGUGGAGCCUGCGGUUCAAUUUGACUCACACG
Molecule: ribosomal RNA, 840 nt
Filed under: Salyavata variegata
Lineage: Eukaryota; Metazoa; Arthropoda; Insecta; Hemiptera; Reduviidae
Description: SSU rRNA
Rfam family: Eukaryotic small subunit ribosomal RNA
Source: RNAcentral